CAAUAGCGUAUAUUAAAGUUGUUGCGGUUAAAAAGCUCGUAGUUGGAUUUCUGUUGGGAACGACCGGUCCGCCCAUUGGGUGUGUAUCUGGCUUGUUCUCGGCAUCUUCUUGGUGAACGUUGCUGCACUUGACUGUGUGGAGCGCUACCCAGGACUUUUACUUUGAGGAAAUUAGAGUGUUUCAAGCAGGCAUAUGCCUUGAAUACAUUAGCAUGGAAUAAUAAGAUAGGACCUCGGUUCUAUUUUGUUGGUUUCUAGAGCUGAGGUAAUGAUUAAUAGGGAUAGUUGGGGGCAUUCGUAUUUAACUGUCUGAGGUGAAAUUCUCGGAUUUGUUAAAGACGGACUACUGCGAAAGCAUUUGCCAAGGAUGUUUUCAUUGA
This 380-nucleotide ribosomal RNA is filed under the name uncultured eukaryote. RNAcentral describes it as "partial 18S ribosomal RNA". It matches the Rfam family "Eukaryotic small subunit ribosomal RNA", at positions 592 to 976 of the family's 1831-position model. The record is from RNAcentral.